GCCCGUGAUUUAUUUUCGUCAGCUGGCUUCACUAAGCCUAACAACCGCAAUUGCGCAUAAGCAGGGUCAUGACGGUGGUUGUUAACUUGUUAAAUCACCCCAGGUUUUCUCAAUGUAGCGACGAGCGCGGUAACAUAAAAUGGACGGUGUUAGCAACGUAUGACCAGUCGAAAACAUGGACAAGUCUAGAGCAGCCUACUUCACUGAAGAAGAGAAAACGAUCAUCUUAAACAAAUAUGAAGAGUUUAAACACAUAAUACAGGAAAAAAGCUACACAGCUGCUGCUGCCAGAAAAAGAAAGGACAUCUGGCAAAAAAUAACCGACUGCGUGAAUGCGCAAUGCCGUUGGCCAUCUCUUCAGCCUGAUGGCGGUGGUGGUGGACCAGUUCUCCCUGCCUCAACCUCUUGUCCAAUAGUAUUGGCUAAAAAGGCCUAUUGGAUGUCAAAUGUAAGCACACUUGAGACUUUUAUAAAAGAAAGCAUUUCAACAUCAAAUAGCCUACUGGCAGUGUGGAGAUGGCUGACAAUUUAAAGCUGCAACCAUGGCAGUGUGAAAAGAUCCUGGGAGCAAAUAAAGCAUAAACACAAAAACAUAAUUCAAACCGCCAACAGGAAAGAGGCGGGGAAGACAGCAGGGGGCCCUCGUCCACAGGACUACCCUCCUGUUGAGGAGCUGGGCCUCUCCCAGAUUCAGGGUGGCCCCUUAACGGAAUGGGGCAUAUCCCCAGACACAAAUGGCAGCUCCCAAACAGGAAUAUUUGUGAAGGUUGAAGGAGAAUCCAUGUUGUUGUUGUCACCACCCACGCUGCUGCAUACAAAGGUGGAGGUCCUAGAUGACAAGGAGGCGCAGUCAACAUGCUCAGAGAGAACUUUGGGGGAAGAGGGAAAUCUUCCUCCCCCCGAGUUUAUUGCCACCACUUCUAGGCCAAGCGGAUCACCAGGGGUUGGAACAGACAGUGUGAGGACCCUGUACAAAAGAUCCUUAGAGCUGGAUAUAGAGUACAAAAAACUCAAAAUUAGAAAAAUUCAGCUUGAGGUGGAGAAACUAGAGCAUGAAAAGAAGGAAAGGGAGAAGAGAAUGAAACCCCCAGAAUGAAAAAUAAAAUUUUAAAAAACAA
Molecule: RNA transcript, 1118 nt
Organism: Osmerus eperlanus (European smelt)
Lineage: Eukaryota; Metazoa; Chordata; Actinopteri; Osmeriformes; Osmeridae
Gene name: myb/SANT-like DNA-binding domain-containing protein 4
Exons: 9
Source: RefSeq, a predicted model, not a curated record